UACGGUGGGGGCAAGCGUUGUUCGGAAUUACUGGGCGUAAAGGGCUCGUAGGCGGCCAACUAAGUCAUACGUGAAAUCCCUCGGCUUAACCGGGGAACUGCGUCUGAUACUGGAUGGCUUGAGUUCGGGAGAGGGAUGCGGAAUUCCAGGUGUAGCGGUGAAAUGCGUAGAUAUCUGGAGGAACACCGGUGGCGAAGGCGGCAUCCUGGACCGAUACUGACGCUGAGGAGCGAAAGCCAGGGGAGCAAACAGG
This 253-nucleotide ribosomal RNA is filed under the name uncultured bacterium. RNAcentral's name for it is "partial 16S ribosomal RNA". It matches the Rfam family "Bacterial small subunit ribosomal RNA", at positions 524 to 776 of the family's 1533-position model. The record is from RNAcentral.